This is an RNA transcript of Physeter macrocephalus (sperm whale), 2545 nucleotides long. It is a transcript of the gene named tetraspanin 17, with no coding region annotated. The record is from RefSeq and is a predicted model, not a curated record. Lineage: Eukaryota; Metazoa; Chordata; Mammalia; Artiodactyla; Physeteridae. The transcript is spliced from 9 exons.
GGCGGCUCCAGCCCCGGGCGGCUCCAGCCCCGGGCGGCCCGCGGAGGGCUGGGCCUAGCCCCCGGCUCCGGUUCCCGGGCCGGCGGGCGGCCGCUCACCAUGCCCGGCAAGCAGCAGCACUUCCAGGAACCCGAGGUCGGCUGCUGCGGGAAAUACUUCCUGUUUGGCUUCAACAUCGUCUUCUGGGUGCUGGGAGCCCUGUUCCUGGCCAUUGGUCUCUGGGCCUGGGGUGAGAAGGGUGUUCUCUCCAACAUCUCGGCGCUGACAGAUCUGGGAGGCCUUGACCCCGUGUGGCUGUUUGUAGUGGUAGGAGGCAUCAUGUCGGUGCUGGGCUUUGCCGGCUGCAUUGGGGCCCUCCGGGAGAACACAUUCCUGCUCAAGUUUUUCUCCGUGUUCCUUGGCCUCAUCUUCUUCCUGGAGCUGGCAACAGGGAUCCUGGCCUUCGUCUUCAAGGACUGGAUUCGAGACCAGCUCAACCUCUUCAUCAACAACAAUGUCAAGGCCUAUAGGGAUGACAUUGACCUCCAGAACCUCAUUGACUUUGCUCAGGAAUACUGGUCUUGCUGCGGAGCCCGAGGGCCCAACGACUGGAACCUCAAUAUCUACUUCAACUGCACUGACGUGAACCCGAGCCGGGAGCGCUGCGGGGUGCCCUUCUCCUGCUGCGUCAGGGACCCUGUGGAAGAUGUCCUCAACACUCAGUGUGGCUACGAUGUUCGGCUCAAACUGGAGCUGGAGCAGCAGGGCUUCAUCCACACCAAAGGCUGCGUGGGCCAGUUUGAAAAGUGGCUGCAGGACAACCUGAUUGUCGUGGCUGGGGUCUUUGUGGGCAUCGCCCUCCUCCAGAUCUUUGGUAUCUGCCUGGCCCAGAACCUCGUGAGUGACAUCAAGGCAGUGAAGGCCAACUGGUGAGGCUGCCUCGCUGGCCAUGGCCACUCUCCUGGCUGACCCAGGGCCCCCGCCCCCCCCAACUCUGCCCGUGAUGGGAUCAAACAUGAUGAUGGCUACAGACUACUCAAAUAAACAAAACCUUGAAAACCACUGGCUUCUGCCCGGCGUCUUGAAGAUUCUCUCAGCUUCAGGUUCUCAGCAGAGCUCUCCAUCUUGGGCCCUGGCUUGGAGCCAUCCGCCAAUGUGUUUUCUUGGCCUGGGUAGUAUAUACAUUUGAGCCAACCUUUAAAACUUGGUGUAUUUCACGUAAAAGUCCAGAUCCCCAACUUCUUGUGAAGAUUGGCCAUCUGGCCACAGCAGCUCUUGGGGCAUCGUCUCCUGGGACAUGUGCUUCCUGUUCUCUGAGGGACCCACCUGGCCUGUGCUUCUCACCCUGUAGGCUGGGGUUGGCCUCCGCACUGCUGUAGGGUUUUUCCCUGCAAACACCGCGAGGCUGCCGUGGGCUAAGCCUUCAUGAGGAUGUGAAGAAUGGGGAGGCUGGACACUGCCCUGAAGAGGCCACACAGCCUAGGAGGAGUCCAGCCACACUGGAGACUGAGAUGGGUGCCCAGGAGAGUGGCUGAGGGGUGGAAUGGAGAUCAGGAAGGUUUGGGGAAGGAAGUAGUUGGAAGUUGAAAACUUGGCACACGUGGGGUUGGGGGAAGCCUGCUUUGGAACCCAUGGUGGUUGAUGCCGGGCCUCACUUGGAAUCAAAUCGAACAUCUUCAUGGAGGCCUGCAGAGCUGCCUCAUGGCCACCAGAGGGCGCACCAGCAAGCUUUGCCUGGGUCUGGCUGCUUCGUCCACAACCUCACUCUGGUACAGCCAAGUGCCUGGUGUGUCCACCCAGCUUUCCAGUGCUUUGGGUUCAGGGAAUUUGAGAACUUCGAAAGGAGCAACUGUCUCCGACUUGGGAAGUCUGCUGCUCUCAGCUCUGCCUCUUAGCUGCAUGAAGGGGUGUGUGUGGAGUGAAUGCCACACCCAUCCCUAGGGUGCCCUUUGUGGAUAAAAGGAGGGAUUUGGGCAGGUUCACAGAUCUCCUACUCAGAUGCCCAAGGUUGUAUAAAUGAAUGAAGUAGGCCUUUGACUUGUGAGGUCUUUGCAGUGCAACUGACUUUCCUACUGUUCCUGAAGACUGCACCGAGAGACAUUGCUUUAUGACGAAAAAUAUUUGGACCAUCAAGUUGAUAAUGGCAGCUGACCUUGAGGUACAAUAGAGUGGUGAGGACUGGCAAAGCACAGGUCCCCAUCUGAAGUUGGUGGCUGUCAUUUAGUUGUGGCUAAUUGCUAUAAAGUGGGAAUGCAGGUCUAAUGUCAGAAAUCUGGAGAAGCCAGAAAUCCAGGUUUUUAUGUGAAAUAUCCCUAUUUUUAAGGUGUUGACAACUAAUGAAAAAAAAAAUGCUGCAAGCCCAACAAAAGAAGAGGGGGCCAGCUUUGACCCCUGUGUCACUACAAUUCCCUCUGGGAUAAUCACCUAUUGGGGUCCUGGCUGCUCUGCCAUUCAGGGGUGCUGGGAGCUGCUGCCAGGAGGGGAGGGUGUGGGGUAUGCACCCAGCAUUGUAGCUCCCAGACACAGGCUGGACAGUGUCCUGGGGUCCCUGACAGGUACCAGUGCA